UCUCUCCCGCAUCCGAGUUGGACCCAUAACUGGUUGGCUCCUGCAGGAGCCCGGCGCUGAUGGCGGCACCGCAAAUCUUCAAGAGCUCCUUGCAAUCCAAAAGCCUCGCCACCUCUUCGAUAUUCACUAGCUUGCUCUGGGUGACCACUAAUUUUCCCGUGUAGACAAAUUCCAAAAACGUGGAAAAGUCUCCGGGCUGCAUGUUGGAAAGUGGGAUGUUGUCCCUGGCAGCGUCCUGGGAGAGCAGGAUAUUCUUGAAGUAGCCACUGGAGGCGGCGAGGAUCACCUGGUGCGCCUGGAAAACCUGCACGUCUCCCUGGUGUUCCACCUGUACGGUGACGUCACUGAAGUGCCCCUGCAGCCUCAGGUGGUGUAGGGAGUCCAGGAUGUGCUCGUGGUGGGACGUUGAGACUGUAUGCAGUAGAAAUAUCUUUUGAGUAUCCUCCCUGGUCUUGUGCAAGGCAACAUGAUGACUCCCCCAGCAUGCAGCCAAACGUGUGCAAACAAGCAGCUCACCUGGGGGCACUUUUUGUUUGUUGAAAAGGUUAGAAGCGGAAGAGGUCACGUGAUUCAGCAGCCGCCCUGCAUGCCAGCCCAGUGACAUGGCUGUUUUGUUAUGGAAGCGUGUCAAGCAUGUUUGCUUUCCAGGUGUUUGUGUUUGCGCCUCACCUUGACUUUGCCACGGUGACACAAAGCGGUGACUUCGUAGAAGAGGGCCAAUCUCCCCGUCGUUGUCUGCAAAGUAAACAAACAAGCUAGCCUCCACACCAGGACUGGCGUUUGUACACAGGUGGUCGCGCCUCAGAUGUUCCAGGUUGCCUCAUUUGAGGGCAAAAAGGCCAUCACAUCAUGUUCUAGCCAGGAGGCGGGGUUGCCAUGGAAACGCAGCAUCUCUUUCCGUGGGGAGCUUGUCUCUCUGUCUCAUUAGGGACCCUCGCAUCAGUGAUAUUGCACACUGCCGGGCGAUGACUCACUCGCGUGGUUUGGAGCACGCUGGUCACAACAUUAGGCACACCUGCACCUGCUUGUUGCCUUUUCAUACAAAACAAACCUUUGUUCAACAUUAGCUUCAUUACUUUUUCUGACAAAACAUUAGAAACACCCCUUUUUGUCACUCAUCAUUAUUAUGUGUAUUGAUGUUUGUACAGUUUCAUUGCCGUGAUUACUGAUUGUUAUGAUUGAAAAUGAUGCAUCAUAUUAUUGUUCCAAAUAUUUCAUAAAAUGUUGGAUAUUUAUAGAUUAUGCUUGCAUGUUUCCUUUUUGCAGUGGUAAUCUAUGUGAAGCCUGUCAUGGCAGUCACUGCGAGGACUCACUAGCGUGCACUGUGCACACACACACACACUAAAGCACACACUCGUCUCUCAGUCGUUUAUCUCCGCCGCCAGCGUGAUGGGGCUGCUAAUCUCUUCCGUUGUUUUCCUUUCUCAAGCAGCACCGCCGUCUUUUAUGAGACAAUUUUCUUGCAUCUGCACAAGAGAGUGAAAGUGAGAAGCAUGUUUGAUCAGCGUUUUGGUGCACAAAUGUUUCUCCUGAGCAGAUAGACUUCAUGAAUGUUGAUGGCAAGACGGUGACGUCGUUGCUGUAAGGCAGGGGUUGGGAGCCUUUUUGGCCAGGAGGGCCAUGAAAGCCAAAUUUCCAUCCAUCCUUCCAUCUUCUGUGCUGCUUAUCCCGAGUAGGGUCGCGGGCAUGCUGGAGCGUAUCCCAGCUGACUUCAACUGGUCAACUGGUGUCCAGCCAAUGGCAGGGCACAUAUAGACAAACACUCACAUUCAUACCUAUGGACUAUUUAGAGUCUCCAAUGAAGCUAACAUGCAUGUUUUUGGAAUGUGGGAGGAAACCCAUGCACACACACACACACACGCAUGCACGGGGAGAACAUUCAAACUCCACACUGAGAGUCCAACCCAGAUCUUCCAAAUCUCGUGACUGUGUGGCCAACAUGCUAACCACUCGGCCACCGUGCGGCCAAAAGCCAAAUUUUUAAAAAUGUAUUUCUGUGAGAGCCACAGCAUAUUUUUAACACAAAAUACAGAUAGAUGCGCGCAUUU
Dunckerocampus dactyliophorus (ringed pipefish) is the source of this 2048-nucleotide long non-coding RNA. RefSeq lists it as uncharacterized. NCBI's taxonomy places the organism in Eukaryota, Metazoa, Chordata, Actinopteri, Syngnathiformes, Syngnathidae. The record is from RefSeq and is a predicted model, not a curated record. The transcript is spliced from 4 exons.